RNAcentral lists this transfer RNA (65 nucleotides) under Dipodomys ordii (Ord's kangaroo rat). It matches the Rfam family "tRNA". Rfam says of the family: Transfer RNA (tRNA) molecules are approximately 80 nucleotides in length. Their secondary structure includes four short double-helical elements and three loops (D, anti-codon, and T loops). Further hydrogen bonds mediate the characteristic L-shaped molecular structure. tRNAs have two regions of fundamental functional importance: the anti-codon, which is responsible for specific mRNA codon recognition, and the 3' end, to which the tRNAs corresponding amino acid is attached (by aminoacyl-tRNA synthetases). tRNAs cope with the degeneracy of the genetic code in two manners: having more than one tRNA (with a specific anti-codon) for a particular amino acid; and 'wobble' base-pairing, i.e. permitting non-standard base-pairing at the 3rd anti-codon position. The record is from Rfam by way of RNAcentral. Lineage: Eukaryota; Metazoa; Chordata; Mammalia; Rodentia; Heteromyidae.
GGUGACUCAGCGGUAGAGUGCUUGCCUUGCAUGCAUGAGGCCUUGGGUUCGAUUCCUCAGCACCA